RNAcentral lists this ribosomal RNA (447 nucleotides) under uncultured bacterium. RNAcentral describes it as "bacterial SSU rRNA". It matches the Rfam family "Bacterial small subunit ribosomal RNA", at positions 355 to 825 of the family's 1533-position model. The record is from RNAcentral.
UCGGGAAUUUUGGGCAAUGGGGGAAACCCUGACCCAGCAACGCCGCGUGAAGGAUGAAGUAUUUCGGUAUGUAAACUUCGAAAGAAUAGGAAGAAUAAAUGACGGUACUAUUUAUAAGAUCCGGCUAACUACGUGCCAGCAGCCGCGGUAAUACGUAGGGACCAAGCGUUGUUCGGAUUUACUGGGCGUAAAGGGCGCGUAGGCGGCAUGACAAGUCACUUGUGAAAUCUCUGGGCUUAACCCAGAACGGCCAAGUGAUACUGUCGCGCUAGAGUGCAGAAGGGGCAAUCGGAAUUCUUGGUGUAGCGGUGAAAUGCGUAGAUAUCGGGAGGAACACCUGUGGCGAAGGCGGCCACCUGGUUGGAUACUGACGCUGAGACGCGAAAGCGUGGGGAGCAAACAGGAUUAGAUACCCACGUAGUCCCUGAGCGGGCUGGCAAGGCGCAU